GUCCACACCGUAAACGAUGAGAGCUAGUUGUUGGCAGGCAUGCCUGUCGGUGACGCAGCUAACGCAUUAAGCUCUCCGCCUGGGGAGUACGGUCGCAAGAUUAAAACUCAAAGAAAUUGACGGGGGCCCGCACAAGCGGUGGAGCAUGUGGUUUAAUUCGAAGCAACGCGCAGAACCUUACCUACCCUUGACAUACCGAUCGCGGUUUCCAGAGAUGGAUUCCUUCAGUUAGGCUGGAUCGGAUACAGGUGCUGCAUGGCU
RNAcentral lists this ribosomal RNA (261 nucleotides) under uncultured bacterium. RNAcentral describes it as "partial 16S ribosomal RNA". It matches the Rfam family "Bacterial small subunit ribosomal RNA", at positions 793 to 1050 of the family's 1533-position model. The record is from RNAcentral.